ACCUCAUCAGCUCUGUGGCGGCCA
This 24-nucleotide non-coding RNA is filed under the name Arabidopsis thaliana (thale cress). The record is from RNAcentral. Lineage: Eukaryota; Viridiplantae; Streptophyta; Magnoliopsida; Brassicales; Brassicaceae.